This is a long non-coding RNA of Ictalurus punctatus (channel catfish), 1690 nucleotides long. NCBI's taxonomy places the organism in Eukaryota, Metazoa, Chordata, Actinopteri, Siluriformes, Ictaluridae. The record is from Ensembl.
ACAAAACCCCAAAACAACACCACAUCAACAAAAAAAAAACAAAACACCAUACCUACGGUGAAGCCCGACGGUGGCAGCGUCAUGCUUUAGGGCUGCUUUUCGUCAGCCAGAACUCUGGGUUUCAUCAGGGUGGAGGGAAUCUUGAAUAGCUACAAAUACCGGAUGAAAACUUUGUCUGCUAGUAAACCGAACAACAACCAGCAGGACAAUAACCCGAAGCAUACAUCCGAAUCAACAAAGGAGCCAGAGCCCAGACCCGAAUCCAACUAAAAAUCUGUGGGGUGACCUGAAGCGGGCUGUUCGCAGGACACGCCCUCACAGACUCUUACCCAAAAGGACUGAGCGGUGUAAUAAAAUCAAAACAAAAGUAUUAGUUUAGGGGUGUGCACACUUUUUUUUUCUCUCUAAGAAGUUUCUGAUUGUUCUUCACUUUAUAUGUAUUCUCUCUCUCUCUCUAUGCAAUCUCAUUAAAGGUGGGAAAAGAGGUGACAUGAUUUAUCUUAGUGUCACUUAUCUUAGUAUCAAACCUGCCAUUUUUAACAGGGACGCCUUUUUAUUAUAUCCGUUGUACUGGUUUGUUUCCGGGAGAUGGGGGAAACACUAUAUCUAAAAAAAAGGUCAUAUUUUUAGGGAAAAUCUCGGAAUAUCUAAAAAAAUGUCAACAUUUAAAAUAUUCGAUUUUUUUUUUUUUUUUUUUUUUAAGCCUAAUUUGCUCCACUGAUCACAAAAUGCAGAAGUUGGAAAGUUUGCCAGUGAAGAUCUUAAUAAUAAAACAACAGCCAUGUAAGCAGUCGGUUAUAAAAAUGGCACAUUUAUUGCUACAGAAUGGUCAUGUACAUGACUUCAUUGAUUAACUACAAGAUGAAAACCGACAGGCAAAUGGCCGAGGAUGAGCUGGCUCAAGAGAAAACUCCAGCACACAAUCCGUUUACACACUGAUACUAGUCUUAAAACAAGGAACAACAAUAACAAUAACAAUGACAGUAAUAAUUAUAAUAUAAUAAACAUAAUUCAAAUUGAAAAAAAAAAAAAACGUAAGAAAUUAAAAGAAUAUAAACAAGAACACAACAAAAAAAAAUUACAUUAAAAAAAAAAAGAUAAUAAAAGGCUUGAGGCACACAGCCACACGUUUGGAAAAAAAGGUGUAACUGUUUUAUAGUUUUAAUGUUUUUGAAACCACUGCUCUGGAGGAUUUAUUUAUUUUUUUUUUUGUCCACGGUAUGAACAAUAAAAUAAAUAGUUUUGCCAGUAAAAGCCGUAACAGCUCUUUUCCAACGUUUUACAUCGUGAUAUGUUUGAAGAAUCCCCAACCAUUUGCACAUAUUGGAAAUAAAAGAAAUGAAAAAAAAAAAAAAACAAAAAAAAAAAAAACCAAACAUUAUAAAUAUUUACUGUUCCUUUUUCUUUUUUUUUUUUUCCUAAAAAACUGGGAAUGUUGAAAAGGAGAGAAGAUUUUUUUCCCCCAUAGCCAAUGCACAUGUAAGGUCAUUAUAUCAAAAAAAAAAGAAAAAGAAGAAGGAGAAGAAGGAAACAUACGGGAUCAUGGAGAGGAAUGAACAAAAUAAGGUGACUCAUCAGUAAUCUGAUUGAUUGAUUGAUCGAUCUGGUCAGAUUUGAUUGUUUAACAGACUUUCAGGAGAGGAAAUGAUGUCGUCAAAGGAAGUGGUCGCUCAUCAUUUUCAUAAAGUCU